CCUACGGGUGGCAGCAGUGAGGAAUAUUGGUCAAUGGGCGAGAGCCUGAACCAGCCACGUCGCGUGAAGGAUGAAGGAUCUAUGGUUUGUAACCUUCUUUUAUAUGGGAAUAAAGUGUGGCACUUGCUCCUUUUUGUAUGUCCCAUAUGAAUAUGCCUCGGCUAACUCCGUGCCAGCAGACGCGGUAAUACGCAGGAUGCGAGCGUUAUCCGGAUUUAUUGGGUUUAAAGGGUGCGUAGGUGGUUAAUUAAGUCAGAGGUGAAAGUUUGUGGCUCAACCAUUAAAUUGCCGUUGAAACUGGUUGACUUGAGGAUAGUUGAGGUAGGCGGAAUGCGUGGUGUAGCGGUGAAAUGCAUAGAUAUCACGCAGAACACCGGUUGCGAAGGCAGCUUACUAAACUGUAACUGACACUGAAGCGCGAAAGCGUGGGGAUCAAACAGGAUUAGAUACCCUAGUAGUC
RNAcentral lists this ribosomal RNA (460 nucleotides) under uncultured bacterium. RNAcentral's name for it is "partial 16S ribosomal RNA". It matches the Rfam family "Bacterial small subunit ribosomal RNA", at positions 338 to 795 of the family's 1533-position model. The record is from RNAcentral.